AAUAGCAGCCGCCCUAGGCUGGAUUGUGAAUUCAUGCAUAGAACCAGACCUGCUCUACACCUAAUGCCAAAAAAAUCCUGCAAAGUUCUCCUCUGCUACACAGCAACACAAAAAGCCCUCCUAGUCCAUCACCUGUUGCUCAAGCAGAACAAGGCAAGCCAGAGUGGUGACACUGAUCCCAAGUGAGUCCAGCCAAGCCAAGUGGAGCCCAGCAGGGUGGUAGGAAGAAGCAGCAAAGUGGCAGAUCCCAUUCCCACACACAUGCCCAGCGUGGCAGACUGAUGGCAGCGGCAGUGCCAAACAGAGCUCUGCAGGGACAGAGAGACACCCAUCACCAUCGCCACUGCCACCAUCCCUGCUGCAGAGAGGGAGCAGGAAACUGCCACUGCAGGUGCACAGCUGCUUCAGGUAGCACCAGGAGCCCCCAUCUACCAUCAGAACCAUUCUGUAAGCCCUCGCCAUUGCGUCUUUGUUCCAGGGGCCCCAUGUGACACUUCACCUUUGUUGCUUAAGCCAUUACCCCUUUUGCACAAUUUUCUUCUUAUUGUUGUGCACUGCUUUUUAUUUCCUCACUACAUUGUAACUCUAAUAGUUUUAACCUCUCAUCUAUUGGUUUUUUCCAUUGUCCCUCUCCAUUGUCAUGGAGAAGGGGAGAGAGGAGAGGUUUUACAAGGACCACCUCAAGAAGAAGACAUAGAAUAGAGGGAAGGCCUUAGAAAGAAUAAACAAACCUCAUGCUGCCGCUUUUGGAAGGAAUAAAUAUCCAAGUUUCUUAAUAUCCAGCCGCAAAUAUGUGGGCUAUUGAAAGCCAAGAAGCACAGGAACCUGGACACCUUGCUGUGAGAGACUAGAGGAGAUUGCUGGCUCAACACUUUUCAGGGGCUUAUAUGUAGGGAAGGGGGCAGAUCAAGCCUUGCUCUGGUGAGGCCAUGCCCCACUCGGCAUGCCCCACACCCCCAGGCCUGUAUCCCAGCCCAGCAGCGGCCACUGAUCCCUGGCACACCAGAGGCAAUGCUCCACACCUGUGUCUGGAGCCCCUAACCCAGCUCCUAAAUGGCCAGGUUAAUGUGGAGGAUUUUGUGGACAGUUAGCUACCUGACAAAGGUCACACUGAUAUAAUACCAUCAGUUAAGCAAGAAGGAGACGAGGAUGGGAGUCAGCAGUCAGUGUCCAAACCUGGCAAGGGCACUGUGCCCUUGGUGCAACAUCAGGAUGGGGGAGAGGAUCGUUAGUUAGAAAUAUGAAGAAAAGAUGAGAACAGCUGCAACACAGUAGUCACAAGAAUGCUAAGAGCAGUGUCCCUGGUAUGGCAGCAAGGCUGUUUGUUCCUGAAUUAGUCAACCAUCCUGGCAGGACCAUGUACCUAAUGACUACAAUAGCAAGUAUGGCUUUGAGUGCCAGAGGGGUAAGAGACCAAGAAAGAAAAGAGAGCCAUGUCCUGUCCACUAAGGACCUCUCUAACAUCACACACAUAGAAAAAAUGCUACCUCAUGCUUGGAAAAGAAAUUUUGGUUCCAGACUUCAGUCCAAAUUUGCACAAUAGAAUGUUACAGAAUGUGUAGAUCCGAAAAAAACCCAUGUUACCUAAAACUGAAAAGAUCUCAAAAGGAUGGUUGGCUACCUCUAACUUAAGUUUGCCUACAUGGUGCUAUGAAUCCUUAUCAUACUGUCAAUGCAGUGGGUAAUUGAAAUAAGAUAAUUUUUCCAAAUUAGUUUUAUUAGUGAUUGUCGCUUUCUUGAUGUCUUCUAAAUUUCUUUUCACAGACUUUUCUUGUUGGUUUGAUCACCAAACUUUCUAUGGCAGAGAACACAGAAAAUACCAAGUAGGUAGAUCCUCUGUAUGAAGUAGUGUCCUAGGUUACAAUAUAAAGAGGUAUUCUAUUCUCAUCCUUAAGACCUGUUGAAACCAGGAGGGGCAUUGUUUUUUCCUUAUCUCCUGUUAUUGGGCCCAUCAAUGCCUUUCCCAUGACUCAGAGAAAACUCCCUCCAGGAGCCAUUUCUGUUUAAUGGACCCACCACAUGACUCACAGAAUGAUAACAGCCCACUGUGAGAUGCUCCACCCAGGGGUGAGCAGCUAAGCAUCCCCACCUGCAUAGAAUCUGAGAUUUGGGACACAACAAGCACUCUUUCCACUGGAUUCCCAGAGGAAUGGCCGUCUUUUCCACUGGAUCUUCAGAGGAAGACUACGCCCUUUCUAGAGGAUCACUGUUCCAACAGAGCCACAUUUCCCACUCCAGGAGGACUGCCUGGUCCAGUCCAACUGGACUGCUAUCAACACCCUGACCAACAGGGUGUCAGGUUGUAUUGUGACUUUGUCCGUGGUUUUUCCUUUGUAUUAUUGCAUGUAAUUUUAGUUUUCCUUUUCUCUUUUCCUA
Passer domesticus (house sparrow) is the source of this 2376-nucleotide long non-coding RNA. RefSeq lists it as uncharacterized. The record is from RefSeq and is a predicted model, not a curated record. NCBI's taxonomy places the organism in Eukaryota, Metazoa, Chordata, Aves, Passeriformes, Passeridae. The transcript is spliced from 4 exons.